AUGAUGUUGUUUUGCAUUGACAAACACGAACUCCUUAACUGCAUCAGUUGGCAAAGGAACAACAGCAUGCUGAAUUCCUAUUUUACAGAUACAGGUUGCUUCUGUGAUUAUUUUUUCAAUGAAAACUUUUCUUUUAGUUUCCUCUGUGGUUUGUUGGUUCUUGUUCUGGUGUAUUUGUUAUGUGUUGGUGAUGUUAUGCUGAGAUUUUGUAUGGGAGCAAUUUGGGUUACAGCAAGUACGUAUAUUAGUAAUGAAGGAGUUAAAAUGAGGGUGGGUAUAAGCUACCAAUUAGACCGCUUUCAGUUUUUAUGUAUGUAG
Non-coding RNA from Vicia faba (fava bean), 318 nucleotides. The record is from the annotation of a GenBank genome assembly. Lineage: Eukaryota; Viridiplantae; Streptophyta; Magnoliopsida; Fabales; Fabaceae.